This 301-nucleotide ribosomal RNA is filed under the name uncultured bacterium. RNAcentral's name for it is "partial 16S ribosomal RNA". It matches the Rfam family "Bacterial small subunit ribosomal RNA", at positions 509 to 807 of the family's 1533-position model. The record is from RNAcentral.
CAGCCGCCGCGGUAAUACGUAGGUGGCAAGCGUUGUCCGGAAUUAUUGGGCGUAAAGGGCUCGCAGGCGGUUUCUUAAGUCUGAUGUGGAAGCCCCCGGCUCAACCGGGGAGGGUCAUUGGAAACUGGGAAACUUGAGUGCAGAAGAGGAGAGUGGAAUUCCACGUGUAGCGGUGAAAUGCGUAGAGAUGAGGAGGAACACCAGUGGCGAAGGCGACUCUCUGGUCUGUAACUGACGCUGAGGAGCGAAAGCGUGGGGAGCGAACAGGAUUAGAUACCCGCGUAGUCCCUGUCUCUUAUAC